Molecule: ribosomal RNA, 450 nt
Filed under: uncultured bacterium
Lineage: Bacteria
Description: partial 16S ribosomal RNA
Rfam family: Bacterial small subunit ribosomal RNA
Source: RNAcentral
GUGGGGAAUCUUCCGCAAUGGACGAAAGUCUGACGGAGCAACGCCGCGUGAGUGAAGAAGGUUUUCGGAUCGUAAAGCUCUUUCGUUAGGGACGAACGUGCUCUUUGUGAAUAAUGAGGAGUAAAGACGGUACCUAAAUAAGAAGCCACGGCUAACUACGUGCCAGCAGCCGCGGUAAUACGUAGGUGGCAAGCGUUGUCCGGAAUUAUUGGGCGUAAAGCGCGCGCAGGCGGGAUAUCAAGUCUGUCUUAAAAGUGCGAGGCUCAACCUCGUGAGGGGAAAGAAACUGGUAUUCUUGAGUGUCGGAGAGGAAAGUGGAAUUCCAAGUGUAGCGGUGAAAUGCGUAGAGAUUUGGAAGAACACCAGUGGCGAAGGCGACUUUCUGGACGAUGUCUGACGCUGAGGCGCGAAAGCUAGGGGAGCGAACGGGAUUAGAUACCCUUGUAGUCC